This is a long non-coding RNA of Corvus hawaiiensis (hawaiian crow), 2620 nucleotides long. RefSeq lists it as uncharacterized. Lineage: Eukaryota; Metazoa; Chordata; Aves; Passeriformes; Corvidae. The record is from RefSeq and is a predicted model, not a curated record. The transcript is spliced from 4 exons.
CAUCCUUAGCUCGGCUAUAAAAAGCUGUGGGUUUGAGGAGAAUUUUGCUAAUUGGCAGAUUGAUUAUUUCUAAGUAAGCCUACUGCUAGUGAAAUAUCAUGCAAAUUAUUGAAAUGAGAGGUUUUAAUAAUGCAGAGUGGGUAUAAGAUGAUACAUACCUUUGAUUAUCGCUCUGUUUGUUUGAGUUUUUUAAUAUUAACUUUAAUCAAAGAAAAAACAGAUUUCAGUUAAUGAAAGGAAGAAGAAUGUGAUCCAAAUCUCUGGGGAGAUAUAACGGAUAAUUGGAUUUCAAGUACUCUAGCUCCAUUCCCAAUAGUGUUCAUUUUCUUUGCAGGAUGAUAGUUGUUUAGUUUCAUUAGCCUUAAUGUACAGGGUCAGCUUUUAAAUUACACUGCAUUAGGCUGCUGCUCUCUUUUGCCUCAUUCCUUGCAUUUUUGCUGUGUGGCCUCUCUCAUGGCCAUGACUCUGCCUUGGUAGAGGUCACUUGUCACUGCCACCAGAGGGCUGCCACUGGAACUGCCAGUCCUCUUCCUAAUGAUUCCUGCCUUCCUCCCGAGCCUCCAGUGUGUCUCUAAGAAGGCAGAGCUUUGCCUGUGACUCUCAAAACAAUGAACAGAAGCUCCCCUUUUCUUGUUAAAAUCCAUUACCAGUAAACUGAGCCUUGCAAAAAAAACACUUGAAGGACUUCAGUUGGCAGCACUCACUGUGACUGCAGAAAAGAAUUCAGCAGCCUCCAGGGUUUAUUUUAAAUUCCAAAUUAACAAAAGAAAUUAUUAUGUGUGAUGCUGGAAUAAAUUUAUAUUCUAAGGGAAAUGUUUUCCGUGUUGGGAAGGAGAGGUUCUCGAGCAGGGCAGGCUGUUAGGUCGUAUUUGCAUACGAUGAAUUCCUUUCUUUCUCAAUGACUGAAAUUUCAGCCUGCAAAUAUUGGUGCUGUUUGUGUCUAGAAAAGCAAAUGUUAAUGAAUUUAGUUUAAAAACAGUUACUAAAUGUAGGUAGAAUUGGGUGACAAGUACACGUGCUUGUUAUGGCUUCCUGCUUAAUGGGAUUGGCUAAAAGCAUAGACUUUCCUCCUUUGAAACUCAUUGGUAUUUGAUUUUGAUGGGUUCAGGGAGAAAACCACCAAAUACUUUGCCAAAAUUUGAUAUGCCUUUCAAACCUGGUGCAUUCACCGGGUUUGAAUUGUGAAUGCAUCUUCCUGAUGGAAAUAAGCUCUUUUUGCACUGGAAAAAUGAGCAGUGCGUGAGCUUGGCCAUCACAUUUAUAUGUCUGGAUUAAUUACUGGACAACGUGAUAAGAUGCAUAGCAGUUGUUUUUUACUCAAUUCUAUGUGUAAAUUUCCACAUCCUUGGAAGAAGCAACGCAUUCCAGCAGCAUAACUGAGAGUAAACACAGGCGGUGGUGGGGAGAAGUUACCGAAGUGCUGUGGAAGUGCCAACCUCUAGAGACAACAUUUAGUUUACCCUAAGUUUUAAAAAUGUGUCAACGUUGUUUCUCUUUCAAAGAAACACACAACGCCUCAGUGAACCUGACAUCUCUUGGAGCUGACCCUAUUAAUUAUUUUUGACUUACUGUGUGCUAUACAUCCACAGGGAUUUGCACUGAAUCAAGUACACUAUCAUCAAGGGCUUUUAUUCCUUCUUUAUAUUUCCUGGUGUGUGUUAGAGAGUAUAUAUGCAAGGCUAAUAGCAGGUACUGUGUGAUAGAUCUGGAGAUAUAAAUGCAUCUGUCUUGAGGGGGGAAACCGUACAAAGCAGAUUAGGAAAGUGCACUGUUAAUUUUUUAUCUGCACAGCUCAAAAAUUCAGAUAUCUCUUUUAGACUACCAGGCACAAUACCUGAUUUUCCUGCAGAUCUUAAAAUGAUGAUUUCUAAGGACAAGUUCCAAGCCUGGAAUACACUCCCCAAACAGGGACGACCAAAUUUUUAUCUCAACUACAAAUACUACAUUAGAGUUCCUGCACUACAUGUGCAAGGCUUGCUGUGCAUCAACAAGGCAUGACUGAGAGCAGCUUCCCUCCCCUGUGCAUUGCUCUUUGGGGACCAGAGGCAAUUGAGAAGGUGGGGAAGGGAAUGGCUUGUUAGGCUCAGGGUGUAGAGAGAGGUGGGAACAGUUCACGAAAGUAAUGAGUUGAAGAGAAAGUAACAAGGAUGCUGAGGAAGCUCAUUCUUUUUCUGAUUCUUUUGCAUUCAUUCAUGGGAGAAAAAAUGGGAACUCUAGGAAGAAAGACAGGAGGAAGAAGAUAAAAUAAUAAAAAUGUGCCUUUGUGCAAUGAAAAGUCAUUUCCUCUUCGCCUACACACGCACAGAAAUCCAGCUGAGCUCUGUGGUUCCAUGACAGAGACAGCUGUAUCCAGGAUGGUUCUGACUCCAAGGCAAGACCAAAUCCUGCCUGCGUGGGAAGACAUGGUAGAGAAGGGAGAAACAUCAUCUGAUGGUGAAAAUCAAGCCUCAGAAAACCUGGCUGAUGUUCAGAGGAUGAGAUGGAAGCCUCAGCAACACCCAGGAUUGGACCCCAAUGUGGAGCCAUGCUGCUUUGCGAGGUAUACAGCUUAAAAAUGCAAACUACUCCAGAAAGGGGCAACAGCCCUUUUUAUGGGAUUGAUUCUGUUAAUAAGGAAAAU